RNAcentral lists this unclassified non-coding RNA (245 nucleotides) under Hevea brasiliensis (rubber tree). Lineage: Eukaryota; Viridiplantae; Streptophyta; Magnoliopsida; Malpighiales; Euphorbiaceae. The record is from RNAcentral.
GCUAAGCAAUGGGUCCGUGAAACUGCGGCCCAAGCAGCCCAAACGGCUAAAGAGGCCGGCCAGGCUAUUCAGAGCAAGGCCCAAGAUGGUAUGAAGACCGAGGAAGUUGAAGCCGGCCCAGCCCAGGACGGGGGAAAGACUGAGGAAGUAAGCCCGGCCCAGGAAGGAGGGACGGCGCAAGCACAAGGUGCCGCAAAAGAGGAAACGGCCCAAGAACCGGUUAAGACUCAAGAAAGAGAGCAGGC